AUGGACCCGCGUCUGAUUAGCUGGCUGGUGGGGUAACGGCCUACCAAGGCGACGAUCAGUAGCCGGCCUGAGAGGGCGACCGGCCACAUUGGGACUGAGACACGGCCCAAACUCCUACGGGAGGCAGCAGUGGGGAAUAUUGCACAAUGGGGGAAACCCUGAUGCAGCGACGCCGCGUGAGCGAAGAAGUAUUUCGGUAUGUAAAGCUCUAUCAGCAGGGAAGAUAAU
This 228-nucleotide ribosomal RNA is filed under the name uncultured bacterium. Its description in RNAcentral is "partial 16S ribosomal RNA". It matches the Rfam family "Bacterial small subunit ribosomal RNA", at positions 225 to 452 of the family's 1533-position model. The record is from RNAcentral.